CAUCACCCCCGAGAUCUCAACUUUCUCGCCGGCGAAUCCCGCCCUAAUGGCGUCUCCGACGGCGGCGAUCGGCCAUAUCAGUCUCCGAUCCCUCCUACCGCUGCUCAUCACCCUCUCCCUUUUCCACACAGUCCGCUCCGAUCAGUUCCCGGCCGAUGGCAAGGUCCUGGAGCUCGACGACUCCACCUUCGACGCCGCCAUCGCCGCCCACGACUACGUGUUCGUCGACUUCUACGCGCCGUGGUGCGGCCACUGCAAGAAGAUUGCCCCUGAGUUAGACAGGGUUGCUCAAAUGUUAGCUGCACGG
This 307-nucleotide unclassified non-coding RNA is filed under the name Hevea brasiliensis (rubber tree). The record is from RNAcentral. Lineage: Eukaryota; Viridiplantae; Streptophyta; Magnoliopsida; Malpighiales; Euphorbiaceae.